GUGGGGAAUAUUGGACAAUGGGCGAAAGCCUGAUCCAGCCAUGCCGCGUGUGUGAAGAAGGCCUUUUGGUUGUAAAGCACUUUAAGCGAGGAGGAGGCUACCGAGAUUAAUACUCUUGGAUAGUGGACGUUACUCGCAGAAUAAGCACCGGCUAACUCUGUGCCAGCAGCCGCGGUAAUACAGAGGGUGCGAGCGUUAAUCGGAUUUACUGGGCGUAACGCGUGCGUAGGCGGCUUUUUAAGUCGGAUGUGAAAUCCCUGAGCUUAACUUAGGAAUUGCAUUCGAUACUGGGGAGCUAGAGUAUGGGAGAGGAUGGUAGAAUUCCUGGUGUAGCGGUGAAAUGCGUAGAGAUCUGGAGGAAUACCGAUGGCGAAGGCAGCCAUCUGGCCUAAUACUGACGCUGAGGUACGAAAGCAUGGGGAGCAAACAGGAUUAGAUACCCUUGUAGUCC
RNAcentral lists this ribosomal RNA (451 nucleotides) under uncultured bacterium. Its description in RNAcentral is "partial 16S ribosomal RNA". It matches the Rfam family "Bacterial small subunit ribosomal RNA", at positions 354 to 796 of the family's 1533-position model. The record is from RNAcentral.